UACGUAGGGGGCUAGCGUUGUCCGGAAUCAUUGGGCGUAAAGCGCGUGUAGGCGGUCCGGUAAGUCCGCUGUGAAAGUCGGGGGCUCAACCCUCGAAUGCCGGUGGAUACUGUCGGGCUUGAGUGCGGGAGAGGCGAGUGGAAUUCCUGGUGUAGCGGUGAAAUGCGCAGAUAUCAGGAGGAACACCUAUUGCGAAGGCAGCUCGCUGGGACGUUACUGACGCUGAGACGCGGAAGCGUGGGGAGCAAACAGG
This 253-nucleotide ribosomal RNA is filed under the name uncultured bacterium. RNAcentral describes it as "partial 16S ribosomal RNA". It matches the Rfam family "Bacterial small subunit ribosomal RNA", at positions 524 to 776 of the family's 1533-position model. The record is from RNAcentral.